RNAcentral lists this ribosomal RNA (253 nucleotides) under uncultured bacterium. Its description in RNAcentral is "partial 16S ribosomal RNA". It matches the Rfam family "Bacterial small subunit ribosomal RNA", at positions 524 to 776 of the family's 1533-position model. The record is from RNAcentral.
UACGGAGGAUGCAAGCGUUAUCCGGAAUGAUUGGGCGUAAAGCGUCCGCAGGUGGCUGUGUAAGUCUGCUGUCAAAGAGCGAAGCUCAACUUCGUAAAGGCAGUGGAAACUACACGGCUAGAGUGCGUUCGGGGCAGAGGGAAUUCCUGGUGUAGCGGUGAAAUUCGUAGAUAUCAGGAGGAACACCAGUGGCGAAGGCGGCUUCCUGGACACCAACUGACGCUGAGACGCGAAAGCGUGGGGAGCAAACAGG